This 431-nucleotide ribosomal RNA is filed under the name uncultured archaeon. RNAcentral's name for it is "bacterial SSU rRNA". It matches the Rfam family "Archaeal small subunit ribosomal RNA", at positions 474 to 903 of the family's 1478-position model. The record is from RNAcentral.
UACCAGCCCCCUGAGUGGUAGGGAUGAUUAUUUGGCCUAAAGCGUCCGUAGCCGGCUUAGCAAGUCUUUCGUGAAAUCCAGUGACUUCAUCAUUGGGCGUGCGAGAGAUACUACUAGGCUUGAGGACGGGAGAGGUCGACGGUAUUUCGGGGGGUAGGGGUAAAAUCCUAUAAUCCUCGGAGGACCACCAGUGGCGAAGGCGGUCGACUAGAACGUGCCUGACGGUGAUGGACGAAAGCUGGGGGGAGCAAACCGGAUUAGACACCCGGGUAGUCCCAGCUGUAAACGAUGCGGGCUAGGUGUUGGGGCAGCUACGAGCUGCUCCAGUGCCGCAGAGAAGUCAUUAAGCCCGCCGCCUGGGAAGUACGGUCGCAAGACUGAAACUUAAAGGAAUUGGCGGGGAGCACCACAAGGGGUGAAGCCUGCGGUUC